UUGCUUCGGCAGUAAAUAUACUAAAAUUGGAACGAUGCAGAGAAGAUUAGCAUGGCCCCUGCGCAAGGAUGACACGCAAAAUCGUGAAGCGUUCCACAAUUUU
Molecule: small nuclear RNA, 103 nt
Filed under: Penaeus japonicus
Lineage: Eukaryota; Metazoa; Arthropoda; Malacostraca; Decapoda; Penaeidae
Source: RNAcentral